AUGUCACAGAAAAACCCAGUUAGUGAGAGUAAAGUUAAACUAUAUUUAGGGAAAAAGAGCAAACUAUCUAAGAUACAGUGUGGUCACAACCAGGUAAAAAAUGCACCUCAGAAAGACAGAGAGGAAACACACCAAAGUGGUAAUAAUGUCUAUAAUGUAAUGCUGGAGUUACAGGUUACUUGGUUUUCCAGAAGCAGCAAGUUCAGGCUUAUCCUCCUACCCAGGAACCUUGGUGGAAUUUAGUUUCUUCUUUAAUGUGUCCUCCAAAUUUUUUACUCUGCCCAUAAUUAGAGGGAAAAAAAGAAAAGCAUUUUAAAAGUCAGUUAUUAAAAGUUCCCUGGAGGUCGAAUGGUUAGGACUUGGCACUUUCACUGAGGUGGCCUGGGUUCAGUCCCUGGUCAGGAAGUUAGAAUCCUACAAGCUGUGUGGUGCAGCCAAAAAAAUUAUUAAAUAAAAAAAUAAAAAGGAAUAAAACAAAGUCAGUUGUUAAUAUAAACGUGGGUCUCAAAAUUAUUCCUGUAUUUUUCAUGUUUAAUCAUUUUUAUGAUUUAAAAAAUAUAUUAAAUUAUCAUGAGCUAUAUCAAUGACUCAUCUGUAGACUGUAAGCCUCAUGAGAGCUAUGCCUGUUUUAUUCACUAAUGCAUUCCAAAUACCUAGAGCAAUCCUGGUGCUGAGUAGGCAGUUAAUAAAUACUUGUUGAGUGAGCACUUGAAUAUUCUGGUUCUGACAGAAGAAAUAUGGAAAUUAACACAUCAGGCUUCUAAAUCAAGGAUGUGCUCGAACCAGCCUCCAUGAAUCAGGAUAAAUGGUGCAUCUUUAACCACCAAUUGGUAAAGAAAACUUCACACUCAUAGUCUAAAAAUUAUUGGGCUCCUCUUCUCAAAGGAGAUUCCAUUCCUCCAACAUAACAGGAUCUAAUAGAAAAGUCCUGCUACCGCAGCAUCAGUAAUGUGACACCUUAUUUACUGAUACUUUAAAAAACUAUUAUGCAUGUUUGCCAUGCAAGGCAAGAUGGAACCAAAAGAAA
Molecule: long non-coding RNA, 1027 nt
Filed under: Capra hircus (goat)
Lineage: Eukaryota; Metazoa; Chordata; Mammalia; Artiodactyla; Bovidae
Description: lncRNA (ENSCHIG00010000978.1)
Source: RNAcentral